GGCAGUUCUCAGGUGACGCACCCCAGAAUUGGGUUCCCUCCUCUCUGAUUCUGGGUGCCUCACCUGAGAACCACA
This is a non-coding RNA of Myotis lucifugus (little brown bat), 75 nucleotides long. Lineage: Eukaryota; Metazoa; Chordata; Mammalia; Chiroptera; Vespertilionidae. The record is from Rfam.